AGCGAACGCUGGCGGCAGGCUUAACACAUGCAAGUCGAGCGGGCACUUUCGGGUGUCCGCGGCGGACGGGUGAGUAACGCGUGGGAACGUGCCCUCUGGUUCGGAAUAACUCAGGGAAACUUGAGCUAAUACCGGAUACGCCCUUUUGGGGAAAGGCUUGCUGCCGGAGGAUCGGCCCGCGUCUGAUUAGCUAGUUGGUGAGGUAACGGCUCACCAAGGCGACGAUCAGUAGCUGGUCUGAGAGGAUGAUCAGCCACACUGGGACUGAGACACGGCCCAGACUCCUACGGGAGGCAGCAGUGGGGAAUAUUGGACAAGGGGCGCAAGCCUGAUCCAGCCAUGCCGCGUGAGUGAUGAAGGCCUUAGGGUUGUAAAGCUCUUUUAUCCGGGACGAUAAUGACGGUACCGGAGGAAUAAGCCCCGGCUAACUUCGUG
Molecule: ribosomal RNA, 435 nt
Filed under: uncultured bacterium
Lineage: Bacteria
Description: partial 16S ribosomal RNA
Rfam family: Bacterial small subunit ribosomal RNA
Source: RNAcentral